Molecule: transfer RNA, 76 nt
Filed under: Klebsiella aerogenes
Lineage: Bacteria; Pseudomonadati; Pseudomonadota; Gammaproteobacteria; Enterobacterales; Enterobacteriaceae
Also listed under: 3 other names
Description: tRNA-Gly
Rfam family: tRNA
About the family: Transfer RNA (tRNA) molecules are approximately 80 nucleotides in length. Their secondary structure includes four short double-helical elements and three loops (D, anti-codon, and T loops).
Source: RNAcentral
GCGGGAAUAGCUCAGUUGGUAGAGCACGACCUUGCCAAGGUCGGGGUCGCGAGUUCGAGUCUCUUUUCCCGCUCCA